Molecule: ribosomal RNA, 509 nt
Filed under: uncultured bacterium
Lineage: Bacteria
Description: partial 16S ribosomal RNA
Rfam family: Bacterial small subunit ribosomal RNA
Source: RNAcentral
GACGAACGCUGGCGGCGUGCUUAACACAUGCAAGUCGAACGAAGAGCGAUGGAAGCUUGCUUCUAUCAAUCUUAGUGGCGAACGGGUGAGUAACGCGUAAUCAACCUGCCCUUCAGAGGGGGACAACAGUUGGAAACGACUGCUAAUACCGCAUACGAUCUAAUCUCGGCAUCGAGGAUAGAUGAAAGGUGGCCUCUACAUGUAAGCUAUCACUGAAGGAGGGGAUUGCGUCUGAUUAGCUAGUUGGAGGGGUAACGGCCCACCAAGGCGAUGAUCAGUAGCCGGUCUGAGAGGAUGAACGGCCACAUUGGAACUGAGACACGGCCCAGACUCCUACGGGAGGCAGCAGUGGGGAAUCUUCCGCAAUGGACGAAAGUCUGACGGAGCAACGCCGCGUGAGUGAUGACGGCCUUCGGGUUGUAAAGCUCUGUUAAUCGGGACGAAAGGCCUUCUUGCGAAUAGUGAGAAGGAUUGACGGUACCGGAAUAGAAAGCCACGGCUAACUACGU